GACGAACGCUGGCGGCGUGCUUAACACAUGCAAGUCGAACGGAAAGGCCCCCUUUUGCUGGGGUACUCGAGUGGCGAACGUGUGAGUAACACGUGGGUCACCUGCCCUGCACUUCGGGAUAAUCCUGGGAAACUGGGGCUAAUACCGGAUAGGACCGCUUGUUGGAUGGUGUGGUGCGGAUGUUUUCGGUGGGUGAUGAAGUCGUGGCGUAUCAGCUUGUUGGUGGGGUAGUGGCCUACCAAGGCGUCGACGGGUAGCCGGCCUGAGAGGGUGGACGGCCACAUUGGGACUGAGAUACGGCCCAGACUCCUACGGGAGGCAGCAGUGGGGAAUAUUGCACAAUGGGCGCAAGCCUGAUGCAGCGACGCCGCGUGGGGGAUGACGGCCUUCGGGUUGUAAACUGCUUUCGCCAGGGACGAAGCGCUAGUGACGGUACCUGGAGAAGAAGCACCGGCUAACUACGUG
Molecule: ribosomal RNA, 465 nt
Filed under: uncultured bacterium
Lineage: Bacteria
Description: partial 16S ribosomal RNA
Rfam family: Bacterial small subunit ribosomal RNA
Source: RNAcentral